AAGACCUUGCGCUUUUGGAGCGGCCGAUGCCUGAUUAGCUAGUUGGUAGGGUAAAGGCCUACCAAGGCGUCGAUCAGUAGUUGGUCUGAGAGGACGACCAGCCACACUGGGACUGAGACACGGCCCAGACUCCUACGGGAGGCAGCAGUGGGGAAUUUUGGACAAUGGGCGCAAGCCUGAUCCAGCAAUGCCGCGUGAGUGAAGAAGGCCUUCGGGUUGUAAAGCUCUUUCAGUCGAGAAGAAAAGAUUACGACUAAUAAUCGUAAUUCAUGACGGUACCGACAGAAGAAGCACCGGCUAACUACGUGCCAGCAGCCGCGGUAAUACGUAGGGUGCGAGCGUUAAUCGGAAUUACUGGGCGUAAAGGGUGCGCAGGCGGCCUUGUAAGUCAGAUGUGAAAUCCCCGGGCUUAACCUGGGAACU
This 423-nucleotide ribosomal RNA is filed under the name uncultured bacterium. RNAcentral's name for it is "bacterial SSU rRNA". It matches the Rfam family "Bacterial small subunit ribosomal RNA", at positions 207 to 622 of the family's 1533-position model. The record is from RNAcentral.